CGGGAUUUAGCGCAGUUGGUAGCGCACACGUCUGGGGGGCGCGAGGUCGCUGGUUCGAGUCCAGUAAUCCCGAC
This 74-nucleotide transfer RNA is filed under the name Xylanibacter ruminicola. RNAcentral's name for it is "Prevotella ruminicola tRNA-Pro". It matches the Rfam family "tRNA". Rfam says of the family: Transfer RNA (tRNA) molecules are approximately 80 nucleotides in length. Their secondary structure includes four short double-helical elements and three loops (D, anti-codon, and T loops). The record is from RNAcentral. RNAcentral also lists the same sequence under 3 other names. Lineage: Bacteria; Pseudomonadati; Bacteroidota; Bacteroidia; Bacteroidales; Prevotellaceae.